RNAcentral lists this transfer RNA (74 nucleotides) under Mus musculus (house mouse). RNAcentral describes it as "tRNA-Ser". The record is from RNAcentral. Lineage: Eukaryota; Metazoa; Chordata; Mammalia; Rodentia; Muridae.
GGAGAGAUGGCUCAGUGGUUAAGAGCACUCACUGCUCUUCUCAGAGGUCCUGAGUUCAAUUCCCAGCAACCUCA